AUAGCGGAGGAAAAGAAACUAACAAGGAUUCCCCUAGUAGCGGCGAGCGAAGCGGGAAGAGCUCAAAUUUAUAAUCUGGCACCUUCGGUGUCCGAGUUGUAAUCUCUAGAAAUGUUUUCCGCGUUGGACCGCACACAAGUCUGUUGGAAUACAGCGGCAUAGUGGUGAGACCCCCGUAUAUGGUGCGGACGCCCAGCGCUUUGUGAUACAUUUUCGAAGAGUCGAGUUGUUUGGGAAUGCAGCUCAAAUUGGGUGGUAAAUUCCAUCUAAAGCUAAAUAUUGGCGAGAGACCGAUAGCGAACAAGUACCGUGAGGGAAAGAUGAAAAGCACUUUGGAAAGAGAGUUAACAGUACGUGAAAUUGUUGGAAGGGAAACGCUUGAAGUCAGACUUGCUUGCCGAGCAAUCGGUUUGCAGGCCAGCAUCAGUUUUCCGGGAUGGAUAAUGGUAGAGAGAAGGUAGCAGUUUCGGCUGUGUUAUAGCUCUCUGCUGGAUACAUCUUGGGGGACUGAGGAACGCAGUGUGCCUUUUGGCGGGGGUUUCGACCUCUUCACACUAGG
RNAcentral lists this ribosomal RNA (559 nucleotides) under Rhodotorula mucilaginosa. RNAcentral describes it as "LSU rRNA". It matches the Rfam family "Eukaryotic large subunit ribosomal RNA", at positions 47 to 620 of the family's 3401-position model. The record is from RNAcentral. Lineage: Eukaryota; Fungi; Basidiomycota; Microbotryomycetes; Sporidiobolales; Sporidiobolaceae.